RNAcentral lists this ribosomal RNA (332 nucleotides) under uncultured eukaryote. RNAcentral describes it as "partial 18S ribosomal RNA". It matches the Rfam family "Eukaryotic small subunit ribosomal RNA", at positions 1470 to 1796 of the family's 1831-position model. The record is from RNAcentral.
CCCUUAGAUGUUCUGGGCUGCACACGUGCUACACUGGCAGGUUCAGCGAGCUUCAUGCCCUGAUCUGAAAGGAAUGGGAAAUCUUUUCAAAACCUGCCGUGCUUGGGAUAGAUGUUUGCAAUUAUUCAUCUUCAACGAGGAUUGCCUUGUAAGCGCACGUCAUCAGCGUGCAUUGAAUACGACCCUGUAUUCUGUACACACCGCCCGUCGCUCCUACCGAUUGAAGUUUUCGGUGAGUUGACAGGAGGAUUUUUUUGAAACUGGUGCGCCAGUGGAUUUUAGAUCCAAAUGCCAACGAAUCGAUGGCUUUAGAGGAAGGAGAAGUCGUAACA